GACGAACGCUGGCGGUGUGCUUAACACAUGCAAGUCGAACGGUAAGGCCCUUUCGGGGGUACACGAGUGGCGAACGGGUGAGUAACACGUGAGUAACCUGCCCUCAUCUCUGGGAUAACAGUCGGAAACGGUUGCUAAUACUGGAUAUGAGCUUGCAAGGCAUCUUGUGGGUUGGAAAGAUCUUUUUUGGUUGGGGAUGGACUCGCGGCCUAUCAGCUUGUUGGUGAGGUAGUGGCUCACCAAGGCUUCGACGGGUAGCCGGCCUGAGAGGGCGACCGGCCACAUUGGGACUGAGAUACGGCCCAAACUCCUACGGGAGGCAGCAGUGGGGAAUAUUGCACAAUGGACGGAAGUCUGAUGCAGCAACGCCGCGUGCGGGAUGACGGCCUUCGGGUUGUAAACCGCUUUCAAUUGUGACGAAGCUUUUUUGUGACGGUAGCAGUAGAAGAAGCACCGGCUAACUACGUG
Molecule: ribosomal RNA, 468 nt
Filed under: uncultured bacterium
Lineage: Bacteria
Description: partial 16S ribosomal RNA
Rfam family: Bacterial small subunit ribosomal RNA
Source: RNAcentral